Molecule: ribosomal RNA, 460 nt
Filed under: uncultured bacterium
Lineage: Bacteria
Description: partial 16S ribosomal RNA
Rfam family: Bacterial small subunit ribosomal RNA
Source: RNAcentral
CCUACGGGGGGCAGCAGUGAGGAAUAUUGGUCAAUGGACGAGAGUCUGAACCAGCCAAGUAGCGUGAAGGAUGACUGCCCUAUGGGUUGUAAACUUCUUUUAUAUGGGAAUAAAAUGUUCCACGUGUGGGAUUUUGUAUGUACCAUAUGAAAAAGGAUCGGCUAACUCCGUGCCAGCAGCCGCGGUAAUACGGAGGAUCCGAGCGUUAUCCGGAUUUAUUGGGUUUAAAGGGAGCGUAGGUGGAUUGUUAAGUCAGUUGUGAAAGUUUGCGGCUCAACCGUAAAAUUGCAGUUGAAACUGGCAGUCUUGAGUACAGUAGAGGUGGGCGGAAUUCGUGGUGUAGCGGUGAAAUGCUUAGAUAUCACGAAGAACUCCGAUUGCGAAGGCAGUUCACUGGACUGCAACUGACACUGAGGCUCGAAAGUGUGGGUAUCAAACAGGAUUAGAUACCCCUGUAGUC